AGAGUUUGAUCCUGGCUCAGGACGAACGCUGGCGGCGUGCCUAAUACAUGCAAGUCGUGCGAGGUGGAGAGAGCUUGCUCUCAAAACCUAGCGGCGGACGGGUGAGUAACACGUAGGCAACCUGCCUGUAAGACUGGGAUAACCUCGGGAAACCGAAGCUAAUACCGGAUAACCUCCAAGACCGCAUGGUCUUGGAAUAA
RNAcentral lists this ribosomal RNA (200 nucleotides) under uncultured bacterium. RNAcentral describes it as "partial 16S ribosomal RNA". It matches the Rfam family "Bacterial small subunit ribosomal RNA", at positions 8 to 204 of the family's 1533-position model. The record is from RNAcentral.